UACGUAGGGUGCAAGCGUUGUCCGGAAUUAUUGGGCGUAAAGAGCUCGUAGGCGGUCUGUCGCGUCGGCUGUGAAAUCUCGGGGCUCAACCCCGAGCGGUCGUGGGAAACUGGUUGGCUAGAGUGCGGGAGAGGAGAGUGGAAUUCCUGGUGUAGCGGUGAAAUGCGCAGAUAUCAGGAGGAACACCGGUGGCGAAGGCGGGUCUCUGGGCCGAUACUGACGCUGAGGAGCGAAAGCAUGGGUAGCGAACAGG
This 253-nucleotide ribosomal RNA is filed under the name uncultured bacterium. RNAcentral's name for it is "partial 16S ribosomal RNA". It matches the Rfam family "Bacterial small subunit ribosomal RNA", at positions 524 to 776 of the family's 1533-position model. The record is from RNAcentral.